This 313-nucleotide unclassified non-coding RNA is filed under the name plant metagenome. RNAcentral describes it as "partial contains 5.8S ribosomal RNA, internal transcribed spacer 2, and large subunit ribosomal RNA". The stretch from base 1 to 105 matches the Rfam family "5.8S ribosomal RNA", at positions 50 to 154 of the family's 154-position model. The record is from RNAcentral.
GAAAUGCGAUACGUAGUGUGAAUUGCAGAAUUCAGUGAAUCAUCGAAUCUUUGAACGCACAUUGCGCCCUUUGGUAUUCCAAAGGGCAUGCCUGUUCGAGCGUCAUUUGUACCCUCAAGCUUUGCUUGGUGUUGGGCGUUUUUUGUCUUUGGCUCGCCCAAAGACUCGCCUUAAAACGAUUGGCAGCCGGCCUACUGGUUUCGCAGCGCAGCACAUUUUUGCGCUUGCAAUCAGCAAAAGAGGACGGCAAUCCAUCAAGACUCCUUCUCACGUUUGACCUCGGAUCAGGUAGGGAUACCUGCUGAACUUAAGC